ACUCAAAGGAAUUGACGGGGGCCCGCACAAGCGGUGGAGCAUGUGGUUCAAUUCGACGCAACGCGAAGAACCUUACCUGGGCUAGACAACAGCGGACCGUCCUGGAAACAGGAUCUUCCCUUCGGGGACCGCUGGUUCAGGUGCUGCAUGGCUGUCGUCAGCUCGUGCCGUGAGGUGUUGGGUUAAGUCCCGCAACGAGCGCAACCCUCGUACUUAGUUGCCACCAUUCAGUUGGGCACUCUAAGUAGACUGCCGGCGUUAAGCCGGAGGAAGGUGGGGACGACGUCAAGUCAUCAUGGCCCUUAUGUCCAGGGCCACACACGUGCUACAAUGGGCGGUACAAAGGGUCGCUAACCUGCGAGGGGGAGCUAAUCCCAAAAAGCCGCUCUCAGUUCGGAUUGGAGUCUGCAACUCGACUCCAUGAAGCUGGAAUCGCUAGUAAUCGCGGAUCAGCACGCCGCGGUGAAUACGUUCCCGGGCCUUGUACACACCGCCCGU
RNAcentral lists this ribosomal RNA (498 nucleotides) under uncultured bacterium. Its description in RNAcentral is "partial 16S ribosomal RNA". It matches the Rfam family "Bacterial small subunit ribosomal RNA", at positions 899 to 1397 of the family's 1533-position model. The record is from RNAcentral.